GUAGGUGGCAAGCGUUGUCCGGAAUUAUUGGGCGUAAAGCGCGCGCAGGCGGGUCCUUUAGGGUCUGAUGUGAAAGCCCACGGGCUCAACCGUGGAGGGUCAUUGGAAACUGGGGGACUUGAGUACAGAAGAGGAAAGCGGAAUUCCAAGUGUAGCGGUGAAAUGCGUAGAGAUUUGGAGGAACACCAGUGGCGAAGGCGGCUUUCUGGUCUGUAACUGACGCUGAGGCGCGAAAGCGUGGGGAGCAAACAGGAUUAGAUACCCUGGUAGUCCACGCCGUAAACGAUGAGUGCUAAGUGUUAGGGGGUUUCCGCCCCUUAGUGCUGCAGCUAACGCAUUAAGCACUCCGCCUGGGGAGUACGGCCGCAAAGGCUG
RNAcentral lists this ribosomal RNA (375 nucleotides) under uncultured organism. RNAcentral describes it as "partial 16S ribosomal RNA". It matches the Rfam family "Bacterial small subunit ribosomal RNA", at positions 527 to 896 of the family's 1533-position model. The record is from RNAcentral.